GAUGAACGCUGGCGGCGUGCUUAACACAUGCAAGUCGAACGGGAUCCAAGGGGUGCUUGCACUUUUUGGUGAGAGUGGCGAACGGGUGAGUAACACGUGAGUAACCUGUCCUUUUCUUUGGGAUAAGCAUUCGAAAGGGUGUUUAAUACCUUAUGUUCUGUCUGCCUCGCAUGGGGUGGGUGGGAAAGGCUGUGGCCGGAUUUGGGUGGGCUCGCGGUCUAUCAGCUUGUUGGUGGGGUGAUGGCUUACCAAGGCUUUGACGGGUAGCCGGCCUGAGAGGGUGGUCGGUCACAUUGGGACUGAGAUACGGCCCAGACUCCUGCGGGAGGCAGCAGUGGGGGAUAUUGCACAAUGGGCGAAAGCCUGAUGCAGCGACGCCGCGUGGGGGAUGAAGGCCUUCGGGUUGUAAACUUCUUUUGCUCUGAACAAGGCAUGCCAGUGGGUGUGUUGAGUGUAGGGGUUGAUUAGCGCCGGCUAACUACGUG
Molecule: ribosomal RNA, 485 nt
Filed under: uncultured bacterium
Lineage: Bacteria
Description: partial 16S ribosomal RNA
Rfam family: Bacterial small subunit ribosomal RNA
Source: RNAcentral